CCUGGACCGGCCGGGGCGGCUCAACGCCGUCGACCUCACCAUGGUCCGGGAACUGGCCGAGGUCUGGCGCGAGUUGCGGUUCGACGACGCCGUCCGGGCC
Molecule: transfer RNA, 100 nt
Filed under: Streptomyces cyanogenus
Lineage: Bacteria; Bacillati; Actinomycetota; Actinomycetes; Kitasatosporales; Streptomycetaceae
Description: tRNA-Gly
Source: RNAcentral